Molecule: RNase P RNA, 423 nt
Filed under: Streptomyces jeddahensis
Lineage: Bacteria; Bacillati; Actinomycetota; Actinomycetes; Kitasatosporales; Streptomycetaceae
Description: Bacterial RNase P class A
Rfam family: Bacterial RNase P class A
About the family: Ribonuclease P (RNase P) is a ubiquitous endoribonuclease, found in archaea, bacteria and eukarya as well as chloroplasts and mitochondria. Its best characterised activity is the generation of mature 5'-ends of tRNAs by cleaving the 5'-leader elements of precursor-tRNAs.
Source: Rfam by way of RNAcentral
CGAGCCGGGCGGACGGCCGCGUGAAGAUCCCCUGCGGGAUCUUCCCGAGGAACGUCCGGGCUCCACAGGGCAGGGUGGUGGCUAACGGCCACCCGGGGUGACCCGCGGGACAGUGCCACAGAAAACAGACCGCCGGGGCUGUGCUCUUUUACAGAGGGCGGUCCUCGGUAAGGGUGAAACGGUGGUGUAAGAGACCACCAGCGCCUGGGGUGACCCAGGCGGCUCGGUAAACCCCACCUGGAGCAAGGUCAAGAGGGGCCGCCGUAAAGGCGGCCCUGCGCGGAUGUUCGAGGGCGGCCCGCCCGAGUCCGCGGGUAGACCGCACGAGGCCGGCGGCAACGCCGGUCCUAGAUGGAUGGCCGUCGCCUCCGGGCCCGCGAGGACCCGGGGGAACAGAACCCGGCGUACAGCCCGACUCGUCUG